CUGUAUGCCCCUCCCCCACCUGCUGCGGACGGAAGUCAAGCUUCUUUCCAGAUACCUCCAUACGCCCCUCCUCCAUAUGCUCCACCUCCGUAUGGAGUACCUCCUUAUGCUGACGAUGCAAUGGUCAUGGAUGCAGCAAUGGCGAGGUUCGAGGGUAAAAUGGGGCAUCCAUUUAAGCGCCAUCAUUGGUGGCAAGUUGUUCACCAUGAGCCCAAGUGGUCAGCAAAGCAUGGUCUUGGUAGUGGAUCUUAUUCGACUGCGAAUAAUAGAACCCGACUCGGAGUCUCUGGUGAAUAUAGUUCUGGAGGACUGAAGACACCGAGGAGGAAGUGCCCCGACCAGUGGGGCGUGAUAGGGCAAAGGCGGCUGCGCCAAAGACAAAGACGAAGGGGAAAGGGAAGGAAGCCACGGGCAGCGAAUCAACAAGUGAAGCAUUCAAAAUGA
Molecule: unclassified non-coding RNA, 444 nt
Filed under: Zea mays
Lineage: Eukaryota; Viridiplantae; Streptophyta; Magnoliopsida; Poales; Poaceae
Description: misc RNA Zm00001eb410620
Source: RNAcentral